GUAAGUUGCUGUUUUUUACAGUGCAUUGUGGGUAGACUUGCUCACUUCAGGUCGGUUGUCGAGCAACAACAGAAUGUCACUGUUAUUUAACAGUAUUAUAGCAUAUUUUUCGUUGUGCACGCCAUUUUGGAUUGUCUGCAUGAGGCAAAGCGGGUAUUCUACCAUCACAUCAGUUACACUCACAUCAGAUCACAGGGUUAUUUUGGUGCUUUGGUGCUAUUUUGGUCCCUAUUCCCUG
This is a non-coding RNA of Paramisgurnus dabryanus, 238 nucleotides long. NCBI's taxonomy places the organism in Eukaryota, Metazoa, Chordata, Actinopteri, Cypriniformes, Cobitidae. The record is from RefSeq and is a predicted model, not a curated record.